RNAcentral lists this ribosomal RNA (223 nucleotides) under Pteridomonas danica. RNAcentral describes it as "partial Bacterial small subunit ribosomal RNA". It matches the Rfam family "Bacterial small subunit ribosomal RNA", at positions 1311 to 1532 of the family's 1533-position model. The record is from RNAcentral. Lineage: Eukaryota; Dictyochophyceae; Pedinellales.
CUCGACCCCAUGAAGUCGGAAUCGCUAGUAAUCGUGAAUCAGAAUGUCGCGGUGAAUACGUUCCCGGGCCUUGUACACACCGCCCGUCACACCAUGGGAGUUGGUUCUACCCGAAGCUGGUGCGCUAACCUUUUAGGAGGCAGCCAACCACGGUAGGAUUAGCGACUGGGGUGAAGUCGAAACAAGGUAGCCGUAGGGGAACCUGCGGCUGGAUCACCUCCUU